CCUAUACAUGCAGUUGAGCGCUGAAGGUUGGUACUUGUACCAACUGGAUGAGCAGCGAACGGGUGAGUAACGCGUGGGGAAUCUGCCUUUGAGCGGGGGACAACAUUUGGAAACGAAUGCUAAUACCGCAUAAAAACUUUAAACACAAGUUUUAAGUUUGAAAGAUGCAAUUGCAUCACUCAGAGAUGAUCCCGCGUUGUAUUAGCUAGUUGGUGAGGUAAAGGCUCACCAAGGCGAUGAUACAUAGCCGACCUGAGAGGGUGAUCGGCCACAUUGGGACUGAGACACGGCCCAAACUCCUACGGGAGGCAGCAGUAGGGAAUCUUCGGCAAUGGACGAAAGUCUGACCGAGCAACGCCGCGUGAGUGAAGAAGGUUUUCGGAUCGUAAAACUCUGUUGGUAGAGAAGAACGUUGGUGAGAGUGGAAAGCUCAUCAAGUGACGGUAACUACCCAGAAAGGGACGGCUAACUACGUGCCAGCAGCCGCGGUAAUACGUAGGUCCCGAGCGUUGUCCGGAUUUAUUGGGCGUAAAGCGAGCGCAGGUGGUUUAUUAAGUCUGGUGUAAAAGGCAGUGGCUCAACCAUUGUAUGCAUUGGAAACUGGUAGACUUGAGUGCAGGAGAGGAGAGUGGAAUUCCAUGUGUAGCGGUGAAAUGCGUAGAUAUAUGGAGGAACACCGGUGGCGAAAGCGGCUCUCUGGCCUGUAACUGACACUGAGGCUCGAAAGCGUGGGGAGCAAACAGGAUUAGAUACCCUGGUAGUCCACGCCGUAAACGAUGAGUGCUAGAUGUAGGGAGCUAUAAGUUCUCUGUAUCGCAGCUAACGCAAUAAGCACUCCGCCUGGGGAGUACGACCGCAAGGUUGAAACUCAAAGGAAUUGACGGGGGCCCGCACAAGCGGUGGAGCAUGUGGUUUAAUUCGAAGCAACGCGAAGAACCUUACCAGGUCUUGACAUACUCGUGCUAUUCCUAGAGAUAGGAAGUUCCUUCGGGACACGGGAUACAGGUGUGCAUGGUUGUCGUCAGCUCGUGUCGUGAGAUGUUGGUUAAGUCCCGCAACGAGCGCAACCCCUAUUGUAGUUGCCAUCAUUAAGUU
RNAcentral lists this ribosomal RNA (1095 nucleotides) under Lactococcus lactis. Its description in RNAcentral is "bacterial SSU rRNA". It matches the Rfam family "Bacterial small subunit ribosomal RNA", at positions 48 to 1130 of the family's 1533-position model. The record is from RNAcentral. Lineage: Bacteria; Bacillati; Bacillota; Bacilli; Lactobacillales; Streptococcaceae.